RNAcentral lists this ribosomal RNA (452 nucleotides) under uncultured bacterium. Its description in RNAcentral is "bacterial SSU rRNA". It matches the Rfam family "Bacterial small subunit ribosomal RNA", at positions 340 to 786 of the family's 1533-position model. The record is from RNAcentral.
UACGGAAGGCAGCAGUGGGGAAUAUUGCACAAUGGGCGAAAGCCUGAUGCAGCUAUGCCGCGUGUAUGAAGAAGGCCUUAGGGUUGUAAAGUACUUUCAUCGGGGAGGAAAAAACAAAACUAAUAAUUUUAUUUCUUGACGUUACCCGAAAAAGAAGCACCGGCUAACUCCGUGCCAGCAGCCGCGGUAAUACGGAGGGUGCGAGCGUUAAUCGGAAUUACUGGGCGUAAAGGGCACGCAGGCGGUUAAUUAAGUUGGAUGUGAAAUCCCCGGGCUUAACCUGGGAAUGGCAUUCAAGACUGGUUAGCUAGAGUCUUGUAGAGGGGGUAGAAUUCCAUGUGUAGCGGUGAAAUGCGUAGAGAUGUGGAGGAAUACCGGUGGCGAAGGCGGCCCCUGGACAAAGACUGACGCUCAUGUGCGAAAGCGUGGGGAGCAAACAGGGAUUAGAUACC